Ochotona curzoniae (black-lipped pika) is the source of this 132-nucleotide small nucleolar RNA. RefSeq annotates it as small nucleolar RNA SNORA70. The record is from RefSeq and is a predicted model, not a curated record. The transcript has a single exon. NCBI's taxonomy places the organism in Eukaryota, Metazoa, Chordata, Mammalia, Lagomorpha, Ochotonidae.
AGACAGACAGGUUUCCUCUGGUUUCGCUCCUCCUAGGGGCGAGGUGUGCAAGGGUUGCAAACAGAAGCCUCCUCCGCAGGGCACGCAGCCUGAGGCCUGCAUGAGCUGUCUUAAGAGCCCGCGGGGGCAGCU